UCUUUUGAAGAGUUCUGAAUUCGUAAAACCUUCCCAGGCUCUUGGUUUGGAAUAAGAGAGAAAUCCUGCCAAAACACAAAGCAACGUUUGAUGGAGCAGAUGUAAACAUCACAGUGUAAUCCACACACUUUACACGAUUAGUUAAUUGCAGCAGCUGUAAACCAGGCGCGCAGAUGGCACUAGGGACGGGGGGGACAUGACCCCCCCAAAUUCAUAGUGACCCGAUCCGUCCCCCGCCCUCACUAUCGCUACGAAAGGCGACAAAAAUCGGUAAAACAGAGGAUUAACCAGUGUUUGCACUCUCUCUGAGUGACGCCGCCGGGGCGCGAAUCUUUUUUUCCCAGGAUGGUAUGGGAAGGUCCCGCCUUUUUCGCCUCUGAUUGGCUAGAAGGGUCUCCUCCUAUUGGGUAGGUUUAGGGGUCGAGUUAGUGUAGCCAAUCGGAGAGAGCCCUUCUAGCCAAUCAGAGGCGAUAAAGGCGGGACCUCGUGCCUGUAUGAGCGGUAACCAUAGUGAUCAUAUACAAUUUAUGACUGAGCUGAGUCGGUGAUUUUCUGAACUGAAAAAAAUCGACUGCAAGUGCCACAUAAAGGCAAUGAAGAGACAAAAAACAAUCACCUCGUUUUUUCAAAAAACAAUCAAUGAAGUUCAUCACGACCACUGAUGAAGAGUUUGUAACCAUAAAGAUCCUCCAGCAUCGCAGGAAGGAAAUCCAAUGCAAAUGUCACUGCAGAAGUUGAGCUGUGCUGAUCACCAUGGAGGGGCAUGUUUUAUUCUCAACGGAGACGUCAAAUUUUGUUUCCCAGGUUUCAUUGCCUUUUCUGCCACAUAGAACAACAGAUGAAAGACCGGCAAUGAGGGAAUACUGAACACAAAACAUACAACACAAAGGUGCUUUUCGUAACAUUUUUCUUGAAGCCUUUAUGUUUAUAAAGGUAUUCAUGUAAGUUGUAAUGCAUUCUAUAUUUCCAUAAAUAAUUGUAACCAAAGAUGAAAUUCAUUAAAAUAUUUGAGGAGUUCUUGUUACAUGUUUUAAUGCAUUAUAUUUUCUGAAAGUGAAGUAAUGAAUAGAUAAGUAUUAUAACUGUGGUUACAACUAGCAAUGAGAUCAUGCAAUGUAUUAUAACUACAAUGCAAAACUAAUGCAUUAAAAAUAAUUUUAUAGUGCAUUACAUAUAAAGGACAGUGUUACCGUGAUUUUAAUUUAUGUUUGCAUCCUUAUGCUCUACACCUCAUUUUGCAUAUUUUGAUCUGAAGUAGCUUGCAUUUCACAACAUUUUUUCACAAUAAGUAUCUAAAAAUUAUCCAAAGUAUUUCAGUAAGAUUUCAGAAAUUAAAUUUCCUUUAGAAAUAAAGCAUCAUUGUACAAUGAAUUAUACUGAAGCUUUAGAACUUCAAUCCUAGUGAAAACUAAACUGCAUAAACAGCUUGUUCUCUAGGCAUGUAACGGUACAUGUAUUUUCGGUAUGGGUAUUUCGGUUCGGUACACGUGUCUACACACUAUUACACAUCGCAAUAGUAUUAAAGUAAUGUAAAAGGGCUCCCUAUAGUUUAGAUCAGACGCUGAGGUAGUUCCCUAUCGAAAGGUAACGCCCCGUUGGGGAAACUCCUGUUUACUCUGUUACUGAAGCCAGAUUGGUUAACGUUUGUGUAACUGCACAAACCAAUUGCGCUUGAGCCCGCCAAAGGAGCGCCACUUGUGGCUGAACCUAACGGACAUCAGGGACGCUGAGAAAAUUACCUUCCUCGAUUCCCUGGUUUCGCCCCAAAGGACUCUUCGGUCCAGCUGUGGACGGCUUUACGGAGCGCUUCACCAAGGCACAGAAGACGUCGCAAGCGCUGCGUCACUUCCUGCCUAAGCGCUCCAGCCCGGCGACUGUUUCAACCCGCCCCAAGCCAGCGUCCACUCAGCAGCCUGCUAAACCAGCGCAGCCUCAGCUCUCGCAAAAGCCAGAGCCAGGGCUUCAGCAGUGCCCCAGAUCGGCAAAGAGGUACCCCUUCCCCAAGCGUCAGGGCCCACGCCCUCGCGUAACGCUGGAUCCUGGGCCUCAGAAGCCAUCCUGAUCUGCGUGCGGAGAGGAAGAGGAGAGGGAUAAUUCUCGUGGACGCCAGAAUCCCCUCAAAGACAGCUCGCAGUUAUUCCUCAACCCUUUGAGUGCCUCUGAGUGGUGGAGGUGUUUUAACAGUGCACAUCUUGUCAUUUCAGUGUGUGCCCCAAACUACCGCUGUGAUUGCGGACCCACAUACAAUAAAGAGCAAAUUACCUCUCCCUACACUCACACAUGUCAGUUCUCCCCCUGUUGGUGGCGAACUGUCAUCAGUAAAGCCUCUCGUACAUGUCUGCUCUCU
Onychostoma macrolepis is the source of this 2347-nucleotide RNA transcript. RefSeq lists it as uncharacterized. Lineage: Eukaryota; Metazoa; Chordata; Actinopteri; Cypriniformes; Cyprinidae. The transcript is spliced from 3 exons. The record is from RefSeq and is a predicted model, not a curated record.